GGGCGGUUAGCUCAGUGGUAGAGCGUCUGCCUUACAAGCAGAGGGUCACUGGUUCAAGUCCAGUACCGCCCA
Molecule: transfer RNA, 72 nt
Filed under: Petalonia binghamiae
Lineage: Eukaryota; Phaeophyceae; Ectocarpales; Scytosiphonaceae
Also listed under: 2 other names
Description: Endarachne binghamiae tRNA-Val
Rfam family: tRNA
About the family: Transfer RNA (tRNA) molecules are approximately 80 nucleotides in length. Their secondary structure includes four short double-helical elements and three loops (D, anti-codon, and T loops). Further hydrogen bonds mediate the characteristic L-shaped molecular structure. tRNAs have two regions of fundamental functional importance: the anti-codon, which is responsible for specific mRNA codon recognition, and the 3' end, to which the tRNAs corresponding amino acid is attached (by aminoacyl-tRNA synthetases). tRNAs cope with the degeneracy of the genetic code in two manners: having more than one tRNA (with a specific anti-codon) for a particular amino acid; and 'wobble' base-pairing, i.e. permitting non-standard base-pairing at the 3rd anti-codon position.
Source: RNAcentral